This is a long non-coding RNA of Cydia fagiglandana, 195 nucleotides long. RefSeq lists it as uncharacterized. NCBI's taxonomy places the organism in Eukaryota, Metazoa, Arthropoda, Insecta, Lepidoptera, Tortricidae. The transcript is spliced from 2 exons. The record is from RefSeq and is a predicted model, not a curated record.
AAACAAGCUUGUAGCUUGUAAAACCAUCGCUUUCUAACGAAUAAAGUUAUCAAUUGUUAUAGGUAAAGGAAACUUAGCUUUAGUGCAACGGGCCUUAUAAGACAAAACUUACGAACACAAAAAUGAAACAUAAAAAUGACUAACUCAUAACAAAGUUAAAAUGAAAAUGCUAUCCAGUAGGUUGAGUAGGUAAGU